RNAcentral lists this ribosomal RNA (490 nucleotides) under uncultured bacterium. Its description in RNAcentral is "partial 16S ribosomal RNA". It matches the Rfam family "Bacterial small subunit ribosomal RNA", at positions 30 to 507 of the family's 1533-position model. The record is from RNAcentral.
AUUGAACGCUGGCGGCAGGCCUAACACAUGCAAGUCGAAUGGUAACAGGAAGCAGCUUGCUGUUUCGCUGACGAGUGGCGGACGGGUGAGUAAUGUCUGGGAAACUGCCUGAUGGAGGGGGAUAACUACUGGAAACGGUAGCUAAUACCGCAUAACGUCGCAAGACCAAAGAGGGGGACCUUCGGGCCUCUUGCCAUCAGAUGUGCCCAGAUGGGAUUAGCUAGUAGGUGGGGUAACGGCUCACCUAGGCGAUGAUCCCUAGCUGGUCUGAGAGGAUGACCAGCCACACUGGAACUGAGACACGGUCCAGACUCCUACGGGAGGCAGCAGUGGGGAAUAUUGCACAAUGGGCGCAAGCCUGAUGCAGCCAUGCCGCGUGUAUGAAGAAGGCCUUCGGGUUGUAAAGUACUUUCAGCGGGGAGGAAGGGAGUAAAGUUAAUACCUUUGCUCAUUGACGUUACCCGCAGAAGAAGCACCGGCUAACUCCGUG